GACGAACGCUGGCGGCGUGCCUAAUACAUGCAAGUCGAGCGAAUCACUGGGAGCUUGCUCCCGGUGGUUAGCGGCGGACGGGUGAGUAACACGUGGGCAACCUGCCUGUAAGACUGGGAUAACACCGGGAAACCGGUGCUAAUACCGGAUAAUUCUUUUCUGCACAUGCAGGAAAGCUGAAAGUCGGUUUCGGCUGACACUUACAGAUGGGCCCGCGGCGCAUUAGCUAGUUGGUGAGGUAACCGCUCACCAAGGCGACGAUGCGUAGCCGACCUGAGAGGGUGAUCGGCCACACUGGGACUGAGACACGGCCCAGACUCCUACGGGAGGCAGCAGUAGGGAAUCUUCCACAAUGGACGAAAGUCUGAUGGAGCAACGCCGCGUGAGCGAUGAAGGCCUUCGGGUCGUAAAGCUCUGUUGUUAGGGAAGAACAAGUACCGGAGUAACUGCCGGUACCUUGACGGUACCUAACCAGAAAGCCACGGCUAACUACGUGCCAGCCGCCGCCGUAA
Molecule: ribosomal RNA, 512 nt
Filed under: uncultured bacterium
Lineage: Bacteria
Description: partial 16S ribosomal RNA
Rfam family: Bacterial small subunit ribosomal RNA
Source: RNAcentral